ACCUAGACUGGUACCUAGCACAGAGUGGACAUUUCCAUAAUAUUCAUUCAUUGAACACACAGACCAGGUUUUAUAUCCAGGUCCAUCUACCUCUAGAGAACACACAUGUUCUUGGGGACACUGCUGCAAAGUCAAAUUUUAAAUAAUCAUUUGGAAUCUAGGCAGAAACUUCUGUCUAGGGCAGGGAUUGACAAAAUGUUUCUGUCAAGGGCUCUGUAGUAAAUAUGUUAAGCCGGUUUCUGUGGCAACUACUCAAUUCUGCCAUUGUGGUGUGAAAGCAGUUAUAAACAAUAGGUAAAUGAAUGAGGAUAACUGCAUUUCAGCAAAAACAAUGGCUAGAAACACCGACUGCAGUUUGCUGAGCCUUGCCAAAGAUCAGUAACUGUUAAACUUCCAGGGUUUAUUCAACAUAAAGCUGGUCGCAUCCUUUGCAAAAUCACAUCCAAUAACCUCACAUGGCAACCUCAGCCUAAACUUUCUCUCCUUUUUGUCAUCAAAAUGUCAGUAUUAUUUUGCAUUAUUUCUUUUUCAUUCAGAUUGCUAGAGUAAGAUCUUCUGUUUUCCUGAGCAAUUUCCAUGCAAUCCUGUUAGUCAUAAAACCCCCAAAGGCCUGGUUGAAAAGUCACAUCCACUAAUAAGGGCAAUCAUGUCUAAUAGGAGCUCUGAUUCAUUUCCCAGAUGCAAGAACACAAACCACAGUUCUGCUUAUUCCAGAUCUCAGAUGCAAACACUCAAUAGCUGAGAUGUGUUUUGCCACUGGGUGGAAUAAAACAUUUCCAGACUUUAGAAAUGCAGAGAAUCCAAAGAUGACUUUAAUGUUCGUUGGAAAACGAAUAACAACCAAGACUUCACACUGGAUACACAAGGAAACCUAUUUAUCAGUAUCAUUCAGUGUUGAGAUUCUGUCAGCUGGGCCUAAAUACGUAGUGCAGUCAUUUCGUUUUGUUUGUUCUUUUUUUCAUUUUCUUUCCAUUACUGGAUUCAUUUUGUUGAGGUUAACCUUGAACUGAUGAGAACUGAGUUCAGUCUUGAAAAUAAAUUCCAUUGUUUACCUAGUAUUGUUUUAGCUCAAUGAACUCUAUUGAGGCCAGUCUACAUCUCUGAGUAUAGGUACAGACAUUGUCUACAUGUGUGAAUCAUAAACUCCCAGGAGUUGUAGAAUUCCCAUUGGAAGGAUCUCAGGUUUGGAGAUAAUGCUAUUCCCGUCACUUAUGAUGGUAAGCUCCAAUGUUCAUUCCUGUCACUUAUGAUGGUAAGCUCCAACGUUCUUGCCAGGGUAGAGAAUAGAAAUGAAAGAUUGAACCUGUUGUUUGAUGAACAGCAAUGAAAGAAUGGUGAGAAACAGCAAUGGUCUUAGUGUCUGGAAAAAGGAAGCAGUGGAGUCUGUGACAAAUGGCAGGCCCCUUCUUCAGACAGAGUCAGUUGAGACUCAGCUUUGCCUAUCAUUGCUCUGAAGAAAUGCCAGGGUUUUCAGAUCAUCUAAUGUUCUAGUGUUGUUGUGAACUUUUCCAAUUUGUAAAUAUCAGUAACUUCGACUUGUUUUUCCCUCCAUAAAAAAAGGGCCAGACUUCAUACAUAUGACAGCUGCAUCUGGUCUAAUGGUCAUCUGCUCUGUUUAGCUCUAUGAGGGCUAUGUUUGAGAGCUCUUCUUUCAAUUAUAAAGAAAAUAAUCUUAGGGGGAAAUAAAGACAUAUCAACAACUAUCUUAAUGUAAGAGCAAGUUGAAAGGUUCUAGCAGCAAACACUGCAAACAGAGAAGUGGGAAUGCUCUGCUUAUAAAAGUCACCAUCAUCACAGAUGGGCCUUGCAGAUACAGGGCAAAAGUAGCAGUGAGGGCCCACAUAUUGUACAUUUAAUAAUUUCAGGUUAUGUACCAAAAUUUCAUUGAGUAAAAAAUAUUCUAUAUCCCAUUCCCUCACAAAUAUAUUUUCAUAAUUACAAAGUAAACAGCAUAUGCAAAUCUAUAAUAUUAAUGAUGUCAGCAAGCUACUGAAGACAAAGUAAUUUCUUUAGCACUGUGAGCGUCUGGUUGUUUGAUAUGCUUUGGCUGUGUCCCCCGCCGUCAAAAUGUCAUCUUGAAUUGUAGCUCUCAUAAUUCCUAUGUGUUGUGGGAAGGACCCAGUGGGAGGUAAUUGAAUCAAGGGGACAGGUCUUUCCCAUGCUGUUCUCGUGUUAGUGAAUAAGUCUCACGAGAUCUGAUGGUUUUUUAAGUAGGAGUUCCCCUACACAAGCUAUCUUGCCUGCUGCCAUGUAAGACAUGCCUUUGCUCCUCCUUUGCCUUCCACCAUGAUUGUGAGUCCUCCCCAGCCAUGUGGAAUUGUGAGUCCAUUAAACCUCUUUCCUUUAUAAAUUACCCAGUCUUGGGUGUGUCUUUAUUAACAGCAUGAGAACAAACUAAUACAGUGUUCUCUUCAUGGACAGCAAUAUUUAGAUGACUAAAAAUUAAAAAUGCAUAGCAUAUAAAUUGAAUAGUAACAUGAAUUUUUUUAGUAUUGCAAACUAUUUUUCCUCUGCAGCUGUCCUCUGCAGCUGCUGGGAAGACUGGGCAAGGGUUUGAGGUCCUUUAGACCCACAAAAUGGAGCAGCAGGAAGAAAGUCAGCACUCUUGGAGAAGAAGACUCCACUAUGCAGGUCUGCAGCAACCUUGCAGCAGCCAGGUGUGGCUGGCUAAUUUGUCAUUUCUCUCAUUCAAGGGCCACUUAAAUCAUGCUGCACAUCUAAGCAAGACCCGUGUCUGACAUGACAGGGACACAACACAAAUUUUUUCUUCAUCUGGACAUGAUCUCUUCUUGUUUAGAGGGCAUUAGGGAAAGAGAUGUGGGCAAGAGUUGAAUUUUGUCUGUGCAGCCUUUGUCAUGAGAAUGGAUGUGGAAGGUCACAGGCAGCACUGCCCCAGCACAGAAUGUUGGGUUUUCAGGGGCAGGGGUGCUCAUGUUCUCAGGUAUAACUUUGUGUGAAUGUGUUUGUGUGUAGGGGUGUGCCUGUAGGGUUGUGUGUGUGUAGGGUUGUGGGGCGGGGGCUGUGCAUUUGUGUAGGUGAUAGGGUUUGGGCAUGUCCCCACCCAAAUCUCAUCUUCAAUUCCCUUGUGUUGUGACAGGGACCUGGUGGGAGGCAAUUGAAUCAUGGGGGCAGGUCUUUCCCAUGCUAUUCUUGUGGUAGUGAAUAAGUCUCACAAGAUUUGAUGGUUUUAUAAGGGGGAAUUUCCCUGCACAAGCCCUCUCUCUUUGCCUGCUGCCAACCAUGUAAGACAUGAUUUGCUCCUCCUGGGGGCAGGUCUUUCCUGUGCUGUUCUCAUGAUAGUGAAUAAGUCUCAUGAGAUCUGAUGGUUUUAUAAAGAGGAGUUUCCCUGCACAAGCUCUCUCUCUGCCUGCUGCCAUCCAUGUAAGACGUGACUUAACUCCUCCUUGCCUUCCACCAUGAUUGUGGGGCCUCCCCAGCCACAUGAAACUGUAAGAUCAUUAAACCUAUCUUUCUUUUUUAAAUUGCCCAGUCUCAGGUAUGCCUUUAUCAGCAGCGUGAAAACAGACUGAUACAGUAGGUGUGUAUGUAUGUAGACGUGCUUGCGUAGGUAUGUGUGUGUAGAUGUGUAUGUGUGUAGAUGAGUAUGUAUUAGGGAUGUAUGUGUGUAUGGUUGUGUAUUGGGGUGUGUGUGUAGGGGGUUGUGCUUGUAUGGGUGUGUGUAUAGGGUUGUGUGUGCAGGUGGGUAUGUGUGUAGGAGUGUGUAUGUAUGUAAAUGUAUGUAGGUAGGUGUGUGUAAGGGUGUGUGUAUGUAUGUAGAUAUGUGUGUAGGGGUGUGUGUAAAGUUGUGUGAGUAGGGGAGUGUGUAGGUGUGUAUGUAUGUAGAUAUGUUUGUGUAGGGGUGUGUAUAGGUGUCUGUGUGUAGGGAGGUGUGUUAGGGAAGUUGUGUAGGUGUGUGUAUAGGUGUGUGUGUUGGGGUGUGUGUUGGGGUGUGUGCAUAGGGUAUGUGUUAGGGAAGUGUGUGUAGGGGUGUGUAUGUGUGGUGUGUGUGUACAGGUGUGUGUAAGGGGACAGUGUCUGUAGGGCUAUGUGUGUGUGUAAGUGUGUGUAUGAGCAUGUGUGAGUGUAGGGGUGUGUGUGCAUAGGGUAUUUGUUAGGGAAGUGUGUGUGUAGGGUUGUGUGUGUGUGUAGGGUGUGUGUUAGGGGAGUGUGUGUGUAGGGGUGUAUGUGUAGAGGUGUUUGUGUGGUGUGUGUUAGAGUGUGAGUGUAGGGCUAUGUGUGUGUGUAGGUGUGUGUAUAGGCAUGUGUGCAUAGGGUGUGUGUUAGGGGAGUGUGUGUGUUGGUGUGUGUGUAGGGUGUGUGUUAGGGUGUGUGUAUAGGGGUGUGUGUGUAGGUGUGUGUAUGGGUGUGUGUGUGUAGGGGUGUGUGGGCAUAGGGUGUAUGUUAGGGGACUGUGUUGGUAUGUGUGUAGGGUGUGCGUUAGGGUAUAUGUGUAGGGGAUUGUGUGUGUAGGUGUGUGUGUGUAGGGGUGUGUGUAGCGGUGUGUGUGUAGGAUGUGUGUUAGGGGAGUGUGUAUGUGUAGGGGUAUCUGUGUGUGUGUAGAUGUGUGUAUAGGGGUGUGGGUGUGUGUGUAGGGGUGUGUGGGUAGGGCAUGUGGUUAGGGAGUGUGUGUAGGGGUGUGUGUGUGGAUAGGUGUAUGUAUAGGUGUGUGUGUUGGGGUGUGCGUGCAUAGGGUGUGUGUUAGGAGUGUGUGUGUAGGGUGUGUGUAGAUGUGUGUAUGUAGAAUGUGUGUGUGUGAGGUUGUGUGUGUGUAGGUAUGUGUAUAGGGGUGUGGGUGUGUGCAUAGAGGUGUGCGUGUAGGGUGUGUGGUUAGGGAGUGUGUGUAGGGGUGUGUGUGUGUAUAGAUGUAUGUAUAGGUGUAUGUGUUUGGGUGUGUGUGCAUAGGGUGUGUGUUAGGAGAGUGUGUGUAGGGUUGUGUAGAUGUGUGUGUGUAGGGUGUGUGUGUAAGGGUAUGUGUGUGUGUAGGUAUGUUCAUGGGGUGUGGGUGUGUGUGUAGGGGUGUGUGUGUAGGUUAUGUGGUUAGGGAGUGUGUGUAGGGGUGUGUGUGUGUUGGGGUGUGUGUGCAUCGGGUGUGUGUUAGGGGAGUGUGUGUAGGGUGUGUGUAGAUGUGUGUGUGUAGGGUGUGUGUUAGGGUGCGUGUGUAGGUGUGUGUAUAGGGGUGUGCAUGUGUGUGAUAUGAGUCACUCUACAGUGCAGAACCCCAGACAGACCUCCCCUUGCUUGCCUGAAAGAGGGGCGCUGCUGCAGGAGAAUUCUAAGGGCAUUUCUUGACUCAGUGAACAUUUGUCCUAGGGCCCCUGGAGUAUCUCACCCCAUUCCCAGGGAUAGGGGAAUGUAAGGACCCAGCACACCCUGUGUCCUUGGCUUAGGGUAUGAAGUUCUUCCAACAGAGAUGCCAGGAGAUGUGGCACCAGCGCUUCACUGCUAAUGGGAACUUGCAGGCAAUGUCCACCCUGGGUUGUGUAGGGGUGGGAUGCCGUCUUAACAAGCUCCUUCUAAUCAUAAACACUGUUAGUUAAAGGUGGGUUUGCAACAAUAUUCUAAAUACAGCAGUUCAUAUUCUCAUACAAAAUAGUUUAAUCUUUAAAACUUUUUUUUUCCAAAUUAAUUGUUGAUGAGACAACAGGAAAUACUAAGGAGAAAACUCUAGAACUACCUUUUCUGAAUUAAAUUGUUUCACAGGAGUUAAUAAAUUUUUACUCUGACUUAACCAAAAUAGGAAGAAACAGACCAUUUAUAAUUUGUCAUCUGUGUGUUAAUGCAAGAAAUAUUAUGGCAAGGUCCAGCUAGUGCAACCAUUAGUGAAAACUUCAAUGUAAAUGAAUAUACAUUUAUAUGUUUUAAUGAGUCUGAACAAAAUAAGAUAUGUACAAAUCAUUUGUGUAAUUAUCUGCAGUGAUUUUUUUUUCCUAAGAUGGAGUUUCGCUCUUGUUGCCCAAGCUGGAGUGCAAUGGCAAGAUCUCGGCUCACUGCAACCUCUGCCUCCCGGGUUCAAGUUCUUCUCCUGCCUCAGCCUCCCGAGUAGCUGGGAUUACAGGGGCUACAGGCGUGUGCCACCACGCCCGGCUAAUUUUUUGUAUUUUUAGUAGAAAUGGAGUUUUACCAUGUUAGCCAGGCUGGUCUCGAACUCCUGACCUCAGGCGAUCCGCCCUCCUCGGCCUCCCAAAGUACCGGGAUCACAGGCGUGAGCCACCGCGCCCGGCCGACAGUAAGAUUUUUAUUGAUCGCCUUUAAUAUGCAUAGCGAGCAUGAAAUAAGAGAAAGUUUAACUAGUUGGCGUCAGAUGUUGAAGGGCAUGAACGUCACGUACCUAUAGAAAACCACAUUCUUUCCCCGAACGAGGCUUGGGUGCAACGGGUCUGUGUUUGCCUUUUCACUUUGCUUUAACUACUCUCUACUUCUUUCUCUUUUUAAAAGACACAUUGUUUCUUUAAUAAGCUAAUUCCUUCAGUUCAGGUUUGCUGUGGUCAGGGAGACCUUCCAUUAUCCUAAAGUAAUUUUGCCUUAAUUCUGCUCUGAUCUAUUAAGUUGGCUUCUGGAUUUACUCUCAAAAGGCAAUCUCGACCUCACUCCUGUAUUGGAUUCUUAGAGAUGAUACCUCAGCAUAACUUUUUUGUGUAUCCCAGGUUUCAAUGCAUGCAGUGAUAUGUAGCGCAUCAGGAAAUCAAUGUAAAGAUAUUCUCUAGAUUGACUUUCCUGUAUAUUUGACCUCUUUUUCUAGCCAUUUUUAAAAAUUAAUAUGACAACCAUCUUAAUCUUUAAAGCCACUAUUAUGUAAGUUUUCAUCCCUAACCAGAGAUCUUGGAAGACUUAGGGGUCUUGGAAGACUCAGGCACGUCGUGUGAUGCUGUACGUUAAAACAAGAAAAUGAAAAGAAAAGAAGUAGAACUGGCCGGGCACGGUGGCUCACACCUGUAAUCUCAGCAUUUUGGGAUAUUGAGGUGCACGGAUCACCUGAGGUCAGGAGAUCAAGACCAGUCUGGCCAACAUGGUGAAACCCCAUCUCUACAAAAAUACAAAAAUUAGCUGGGCAUGAUGACGGGUACCUAUAAUCCCAGCUACAUGGGAGGCUGAGGCAGGAGAAUUGCUCAAACCCGGGAGGUGGAGGUUACAGUGAGCCGAGAUCACGUCACUGCACACCAGCUUGGGUGACAGGGCGAGACUCCACCUCAAAAAAAAAAAAAAAAAAAAAAAAAAAAGAAGAAGAAGAAAAAGAAAAAAAAAAAGGAAAGAAAAGAAACAGAACUGCAGCAACGAAACAACUCUCUUGUUCUCAUCAAGAGAGUUGUUUCAUUGCUGAACAUAUAAAGAGGUCUCAUUGCGUGGAAACUCUUCUGUGUUGUCCGGGGCGAAUCCGAUGGGAAGUCAGAGCCCAGGUGCAAAGCCAAUGCUUCCACUUCGUGUCAGUUUUACUUGAGUGAGUUUCAUCUGAUCUCUGUGAAAAUUGACAUUUUGACCCGUAAAACAGAAAAAUCAUUAGGAAAUUUCCCUGCAGGAUUAUUGUACAUGUUUAUAAAGCAUGCAAAGGUUUUAGUGUAUGAGGGACGUGUCACACAGCAAACCAUCAAUAACUGUUUCCUAUUAGCACUGCCAUCAUUGUUAAGACUCUAUUUACUAUCACUACUAUUAGAUUGGGGUGAACAAGUAAUUGCUGUUUUGCCAAAACCGCUAGAGUGCAGUGGCACCAUCUCAGCUCACUGCAACCUCCGCCUUCUGGAUUCAAGAGAUUCUCCUGCCGCAGCCUCCCGAGUAGCUGGGAUUACAAACGCAUGCCACCAUGCCUGGGUAAUUUUCUUAUUUUUGGUAGAGAUGGGUUUUCACCAUGUUGACCAGGCCGGUCUCAGACUCCUGACCUCAAGUGAUCUGCCCGCCUCGGCCUCCCAAAGUUCUGGGAUUACAGACCCAUGAAUUUUAACACUGGAUUUUACCUCAGUCUUGUGCUUUCGGGAAAACAGCACCAGUGAGAACUUCCACCACUUCUGUGUGCCGGGAAAUGGCUCACCAUAUAUUCCAAAUGUCCCCCUCCUGUACCUCUCCUCAGUGACAGGUCCCUGGUCCAUUCUUCCUCCAGAUUCCCACAGGACUCACGUCUACCUGCUUGUGUGGGAUCUCAGGCUCCUUUCUUUCCUUUGAGCUAUUUCUGAGUCAUUCUCCUGAUUUCAAUCACCAGAAUAAAAUCACCACCUUUCUCGUGUGGAGCAUGUGUCUUUCACAUCUGUCUAUGAAUUUCCACAUCUGUAGAAGGUACUGCUACUAGGACUAUGACCUUCUUUAUGGGUUUGUUGUGGAUUUUAGACGCACUUCAAGUGCUUAGCAAAAUUCUUGACACUCAGUAAGGACUCGUUGGAGACAUCUAGCAGCAACGCAUGUGCAUAGUGAUUAAUGCUGCAUGAGACAAUGCUGGAGCUCACUUUAGUUUAAUCACUGCAACAAUUAUUCUUGAGACAGGGAUUACUUAUUCCCAUUUUGCAGAUUGGAAAACUGAGAAAGAUACUCUGGCCUGCUCAAAGCACUCAUCUAGCCGGGUAAAGCUGAAAUUUGAACCCGGACAGUUCUCAUCCAUGCUGUAGCUUAGAGAUAGCUCAUCUAGCUGUAGUGAUGGCUCUGAGCAGCAGGGAGUGUGAGCUUUGGGGAGAAGAUAGGAUCUGAUACUGGUUUCCCAUCUUCCCUCUCCCACAGCAUCUUAAUAUGGGUUUGUCCUCCCAGGAGGGGACUGUGGGAGCUGGUCAUUCCACCUCGGACAACAGAAUAAUCUUAAAGUAUCACAACAGCUGAGUUGAGGCAUAAUCUUUCUAGGCCAAUGGAACUAGCCCUCCAAGCGUUCUCCUAAUUGAUAUGCCCAGAGCGAAUCCGAUUGGAACAGGAAAUCGGCCUGCCUGUGCAAAACUGACCCAUCCAAUCCUGGCAUGUUGACGGCCACUUACUCCAGCCUUAGAAAUAUGCCUGGCAUGUAGAUUUAGUGACAGAAAUAAUUAGCUAUCAGAAUGGAUCAAAAACUUCUUUUUAUGAAACUAAUUCAUUUAAAGUGCUUAUUUAUAAGCGUGUCUAUAUUAGCAUUCUUUUAAACCAUGAUAUCAAUUUUAGUCUAUUGUUAACCUAAUGAGCACUAAAGAAUCUGCUGAAUUCAGCAGACAUUUAUUGACUAUUUUACUCCCUGCCAGGCACUGUGCUAGGUGCCGCAUAGAAUGACGUGAUGCAUUUUCUUUUUAUUUAUUUAUUUUUGAGAUGGAGUCUCACUCUGUCACCCAGGCUGGAGUGCAAUGGUGUGGUCUCGGCUCACUGCAUCCUCCACCUCCUGGGUUCAAGCGAUUCUCCUGCCUCAGCCUCCCCAGUAGCUGGGACUACAGGCACCCACCACCACACCCGGCUACUUUGUAUUUUUAGUGGAGAUGGGGUUUCGCUAUGUUGGCCAGGCUGAUCUCAAACUCCUGACCUCGUGAUCUGCCUGCCUCGGCCUCCCAAAGUGUUGGGAUUACAGGCGUGAGCCACUGCACCCAGCCAACGUGAUGCAUUUUCAGAAAGCAAGCAAUCUAGUGUGGAUGGCGGAGGAAAUAUAAUUGGAUAAAUACACAAAUCCUUUCCUUCUCCCCUUCCUCUUUUCUUCCUUUCCUCCUUCCUCCCUCCCUUCCUCCUUCCUUUCCUCUUUCCUUCAACUCUUGUUUAGUAUUUACUCUGUGGCAGACACUGAGUCUAUAUUGGAGAAUAUAUCAGCCAUAUUUUCUGUUUUCUAGAAUUUAUAAUCUGAUGGAGAAGAAAAACAAUAAAAAGUGAGAAACGCUUUGAAGUGCAAUUUCAGAGUAUUUUACUUAAGGAGGAGAGUGAGUGCCCGCAGAAUGGUUGUUCUAUCCAGAAUCGUUCUGCGUGGCCACGGCGGGAAGUCACUUCAUGUCUCCUUCACCUUUGUGAAGCAGCCUCAGAUUCCUUUGCAGCCUGAGGCUUUGGCCAGGCACAAGGGUUCAUUGAUAUGGUUUAGUUGGCACUUACUCUUACACAUUCUGUUGCUUCAAACAGAAACACUAGUAUCUUUCUCACCCCUUUCAGAGAGAGUUUUUUUUUUUUUUCUUUUCAUCUAACCUUCCAAAGAAUUCUAUUCUGUGCAGAUGUUGGUGGCAGGAUGUUAGAAAAUUCCCUGGCAAAAGACUGAGUCUGUCUUUCUGACAAAAAUAAACAAACAGCCAAAUGUGUAGGAAGGACAGAGUUGAAAUAGCUGGAGAUAGUAGGCUAUUUAGUUUUUCAUAGAAUCCUGGCCUUUCUGUCAAGGUGGAGUUGUCAUUUUUCCAUGCUGGGAUAUAGGUAGAAAGUGGGUUUUCUUUCAGCUGUCAUAGAUUUGGGGGAAGAACAACUUUUUUUUUUAGAACACCCUGUCUUCAGGGCCUCUCAGUUGCCUAUCAGCAGUAUGAGACAGAAAUGGGCAAAAUCUGAGAAAAAAAAAACCAUCCUACAUUUUAGAUUCUACAAGGCUUUUCUUUUGGGACUUUUUUCUCCAAGUGAUAAUAACAACCCUACAAAACACAGGAACACAGAAACCAAUCCAGAAUAGAUUUUGCAAACUGUUUAAAACAAGUCUGCCAGAAAUCAAUCACCCCUUUCCACUUAAACAAGAAAGAGUGACACUCACAGUCUUACCUUCAGAAAAUUGUACUGACUAAUGAGAUUCUAAGUUGUAUUGGGAAUGAUCUGUAUCUUAAAUUAUAUAAAUUGAGGAAACCAUCUGUCCAUCACCUGUAAUCACACAUGAAAAGAACAAUAAUCAUAUCUGGUACUCAUCAACUACAGUAUAUUUGUCAAUGUUUUCAUAUAUAGUAUUUUAUAAUAUGCUUUGAGACAAUAGUUUCACAUGUCAAGUUGGUGAUAUAUAUCAACAAUUUGAAUUCACAUCAUUUAACAAGAAAAGUGGGCUGAAUCUUACCAGACAAUAGUUUCCUUUUCUUGGGGACAAUUUUCUCCCUCCCUCUCUUCCUUUCUCAUCCUCCUUUCCUUGCUCUUUCUAACAAUGGGGUGACCAGCGUGAGUGAAAUAAUACUGUUGAACCAGGCAAGGCUUAGGGGCCUGAGACUGAUGCAGCCUCUCUGGACCACAUAAAACUGGGAGAUAAGUAAAGAGAAAACACAGUGAAGACAGACUUUACACUUUCCCAAAUUAAAAUAGUUUAGUUUAUUAUAAAAGUGAUAAUAUGACCAUUUAAAAAAAGCAGACAAUACUGUGAAUUAUAAAGAAGAAAAAAAUCACUUAGUAAUCUCUUAGAGACCAACUCCGCUACAUUUUGAAAUCUGUUUCCAGAAUUUACUCCAUGUUUACAUAUUUGUGUAUAUAAUUCUGAAAAGGACAAUCUGUAAUAAUUCAAAACAAAAAAUAUCUUAACAUUAAAAAAAUUUAUACCAAUAUAGACCUGUUUUAUCAUUUUUUAUUUUAUUUUGAAAUUUUAUUUAUUUAUUUAAUGUUUGAGAUGGAGUCUCUGUUGCCCAGGUUGGAGUGCAGUGGCAUCAUCUCGGCUCACUGCAACCUUCACCUCUCAGUUCAAAUGAUUUUCCUAUCUCAGCCUUCACAGUAGCUGGGACUACAAGCAUGUGCCACCACACCUAGCUAAUUUUUGUAUUUUUAGUAGAGACACGGUUUCACUAUGUACGCCAGGCUGGUCUCGAACUCCUGACCUCAAGAGAUCCACCCACCUGGGCCUCCCAAAGUGCUGGGAUCACAAGCAUGCGCCAACCACCAUGCCUGGCCUUUUUUCAUUGUUUUAAAAUGACACAUAAUGGUCUUUGCAUAAAUCUACAAUAAUUUAAUAACACCCCUAUCAGUGGUUAAUUCAGCUUUUGAUAUCUUUUAUUCAGCAGCGAUGCUAUGGAAAGUUGAACUCAGAAGUAGAGAGUAGAAUGGUGGUUAGGAGGGGCUGGGAUAGGGGUGGGGAUUGGGGAGAGUUUGGUAGAAGGAUAUAAAAUGUCAGUCAAGUGGCUAAGUACAAGAGAUCUAUUGUACAACAUGGCGACUAGAGAUAAUAACAACGUACCGUAUUCUUGAAACUUGCCAAGAGAGUAGAUUUUAGGUGUUCUCACCACAAAAAAAGAUGUCUGUGGAGUAAUGCAUGUGUUAAUUAGCUCAGUUGAGCCAUUUCACAAUCUAUACAUAUUUCAAAACAACCUGUUGUACAUGAUAAAUAUAUACAAUUUUAAUUUGUUAAUUGAAAUAAAUAAGUAAAUAAUGUUAAAAAAAAUAAAAGCAAUGCUCUGAACAUUCUUACAUACACACUCCUGCACUUGUCUUUUUCUUUCUUUAAAUCAGUUUCUGCCUGUGCAGUUGCUGGAUCAAAAGUUGUCGACAUUUGAAUUUUGAUUCAUUUUGCCAGAUGGCCAUCUAGAGAGGUUGAAAAAUUUGUAGUUCCAUAAAGAAGAGCGUGCCUGAUGUUAAUCCCAGGCAGAUGGGAGAAGAGAGCAUUUAAAAUUUUAUACAUGGUGGGGAUCUUGAGCCUCUUGAGUGUGCUUUGGAUGCACUGACCCUUCUGAGCUCUCAAGAAUAUCUCUGCCUUUUCCAGAGGUUUCACCCAUGGAGGAAGUAUGCAAUAAGUGCACCUAACUUUCUCCAGAUUUCAUCCUUAUCAGGAGGAGGAAGCCAUGAGGGCAGAAGCCUGGGAGACUGGGUAGUUUUGCCACUGGCCAGGUGAGAUUUUGUCCUGGUUUUGUGUGACAUUGCUCGUGACAGCUUAAACAUCUUGCACAAUCACUGUUUUACUCAGUGCAUACUACUUGCUUGUAAAAGUAUCGCAAAAAUAGUUUGGGAAGAUUCAUACUAAAUAAACAAUGAUUUUGGAGGGUGACAUUGGAAGGGCAAAGGUAAUUUUGUGUUUAAUUUUUUAAAGUGCUAUUUAAGUAUUUUAAAGUGUAUUUGGGAUGUUGUGAUUUUUAUAUAUUAAAUGAAGUAUUUGUUGAUUGAAUGGACUGGAUUUUUGAUGGUGGAGUUAUUGUAGGUUGAUGGUAGGGAAACUUCUUGUUGGAAAAACAGAAAUACAAACAAGAGAAUCUCUUAUUGAAAAAUCAGGAAUAAAAAUUAGUCACACGGGUAGGGAUGAUCAUACUGUAUUCAUUUUCCCUCAUAAACUCCACACUAAACAAAUAUAUAGGCCGGGUGCGGUGGCUCACGCCUGUAAUCCCAGCACUUUGGGAGGUCGAGGUGGGCGGAUCAUGAGGUCAGGAGAUCGAGACCAUCCUGGCUAACACGGUGAAAACCCAUCUCUACUAAAAAUACAAGAGAUUAGCCGGGUGUGGUGGUGGGCGCCUGUCAUCCCAGCUACUCGGGAGGCUGAGGCAGCAGAAUGGCGUGAACCCGGGAAGCGGAGCUUGCAGUGAGCCAAGAUUGAGCCACUGCACUCCAGCCUGGGCAACAGAGCAAGACUCUGUCUCAAAAAAAGUAAGGAUAGGACAGACAUCUAAGAACUAGGGAUACAGGAGAAUAAAAUAGAUGCAGUUCUUGCAUGGUCUAUUGAGAAAGAUCAGAUAUUGUUCAAUUCAUUUCAUGUCCCUGAAUACUACAAAAGGCAAUAAUUAUAAUUAACAUUUAGUGAGCAAUUGCUGCAUGCCAGACAUUAUUGUUUAAGGUACUUUAUGUAUAACAUAUUUCUUUAAUUACCAUAACUACCCUGAGAUCUGGGUAUUACCAGAUUGUACAAUUUAGUAAGAACUUAGGCAGUGAAAGAUUAAGUAAUUUGCCUAAGGUUACAUGAUAUAAUCAAUCAAAUCUGAGCUAUUAUCAACUAUAAGAUAUAUGUACUAUUAAAAUGCUGCCUAUUAGCAAUAUAAAAUGCCUCUUACUGAAAGACUAACUUCAGAGAUAUUAGCAUGUAAAAAAAGUCCAUAUUUUGUUCAGUGAAAUAUGGUAGUUAGCAAGUGUUUACACCUGUAAUGUGAACACUAUGUCUGUCUCUCCCAAAAAUACACUUCUGAAACUAUGCGGUUAUGUUAUUGACCAUUAAUCAACAUUGUAUGCGUGAUGCUUGCUUCUAUUGGAGUCCCUAGCUAAUGUUAUUCUACAGAAACUUCAAGGAAAACUGGGAAUUGUGGACCAAGUUAGCUAAGCACUUUUACAGAGAUUCAUCAUUAAUCUAAAACCCAAAGAGUUAAUAAAAGUAAGCCAAGAAGAUAAAUUAACAGCAUUCUCUGUAUGCACAAGAAUACCAUGUAUUAGAAGAAGCAGAAAGAAUCCUGACUGACGGAUGUUGGGAAGUGGGGUGGAAGAGGGGUGAAUAUGAGAAUGAUGAGGUCGGGGACUCAGGGGGCCCAAGGAAGAUACGUUUUUUAAUGAGAGAGACUUGGAGAUACUUAAAUGAAGAUAGAAAGAAUCCAGGAGUAAGGAAAAUGUUGACUACACAAGACAGAGAACAGACACUCAUACUCUAUGAUGACUGAGCAGGUGAGAAGACCUGAGAUGGAAGCACACAGGAAAGCGGUGGCUUUCAAUUCAGUAGAAUAUUUCUUCCAGGCAACAAGAGCAAAGGAAGAGAGCACAUGAAGUGCUGGGAACAGUCCACAUAGACUAACAAUAAAUUAUGAAUAUUUCUGAGGGUGCACCAGCGCUGGAUGGCAUCAAUGUCACCCACACGGUUCUGCACAGAUGGGAGGUUAUGCAUCAUUUUAAGCUUUAGGUGAUAAAGGCCUGGACCCAGUGACGAUGGCGCAGACAGAGAAGAAGAAUGGAUGGUUUUUUAAAAAAUUAGCUUUAUGCCCUAGUUUCUUCAGUUUCAUUCCCUCCUAAAAAUCAACCAAAAUACAACAUUCAUUGCUUUGUCUUUUCACUACGACUUCUGAGCAUCAGCCUUGCCCUAUUUUUGUAGGUCCUGAGUCCUUCCAGUUUCAGCUCAGAUGCUAUAUGCCUUCUCUGUUUCUUCUCUGCUACCCUUGGAAGUAAACAUGCCCUCCUGUGAGGUCCCUCACAUUAGUAAGAAUGUUUUAUGUUACUUCUUUUGUGUCCUCUUAUUUCCUAUCUCAGUUGAUAAUGAUUCAUGUUCCAGUUAUCUCCUUCAUGACUUUACAAAACCGUGAUCUCUGGGGCCAUCUUUCUUCCUCCAUCUUUGCACCUGCCCCAUCAUAGCUGGAUGUGGUACUGCUAGGUUAGCACUUGUUCAACCAACUGGACAUGGGCACAAGAAGGAGAGAGAUUAUCAGUGAUGAUUAUUAGGUUUUGAUGCCUCCUUUGGAAGCAUCUUCUUUGAUUCUUCCUUUGGAAGACUAGAAGGCAGAUGAUUGUCACUGGCAACAGCAGAAGAAUUUGGAAUAAUGGUUUAUGGAGGGAAGGUAUACAUUUAUUUUUGGCUUAUGGUUGCAUUUGGGAAGACUUUGACACUAAGAUGGGAACUGGAUUUCUGAUACUACAUUGGAAGACUGCAGGCAAGGGGACCUGUGCCUCUGCAGACAGAGCAUCUGGUACAGUCACACAGCUCACCUGCACACCCAGGAGAGGCCAGGCUAAUCCCUCAACCUCUCCCAGUCUGAUCUCCCUCACUCUUCCAAUGGAGGUGAUGAGGAUGUUAAGAAAAAAAAAACAAAAGCCCACCUUAUCUCAGAAGUAGUAAUAAAGAGGAAAGAAGGUGAGUUCGUAAAAACACCUUUAAAAGCUUUAUAAGACUUAAUAUGUCAAUAGUUAUUACUAUGAAAUGUCCAAAAAAUGAUUUCCCUUGAGGAACAGAGUGAGCUUUGAAGCCAGAUGCCAUGGUAGUCCCUACCUCCAGAAGUAAGUAUGUUAGUAAGUGUGAAUUCCUCAAGACAGUAUCUGGAAGUGGAUGAGCACUCAAUAAAUAAGAAUAAAACACUUCCUACUAUGCUCAUUGUUAUUUAUAUAUGGAUCUGCAAAUUGGAUGAGAGUAUAGUAGGAGCAUCAUUGUAUAAAGUCUUGCUGAUUAAAAGAGACAAGAAACAAGAUCUAAUUGGGGAAAUUUCCUCAAUUGGGUUAUGUGAGAAGAAGCAGCUCUCACGCACAUGGUGUGUUUUCUUAGAGCCAGCUCUAAUUAGAGCUCAAAAUCACCCACUUUCCUCAUAUGGCUCGGGGAAAUAUGGCCCUGUUUUCUCCCUCUGGAGGCUAAGGGAGAUGUUUUUCUCAAUCUACAGAAGAGACAAAUAAACACAACCUGGGUGUGGCAGAAGCACCCCCUGCUUGGGCUUACCUUCCUCAGUCCCCAUCCAGGACAGAACUCAGAGGACAGGGCCUUGCUUUCUGAUUUCUCAUUCUGUUCUCCAGAGUUGCUUCCUUUUACACUAGGCAGGUUUCUAGGGAACUGGGCAGCAGGUGUAGGUGGAUGACUAGAGGGAAGCUGUGGGAAACAGGCAGGCGAAGCCAGCAGUGGGACCGGCCGCGCUUCUCUGACUCUCGACCCAGGGUGGGUGGCAUAUCACCCAUAGGAAGGACCUCCGAGGCCCAGCGAGGUUUCCCCAGAUGCUGUCAGCAUGGAACCUCUUGUCAUGAAGCAGUAAAUGAAGACCCGCUGGGAGCUUGCUGUCCCCGUGAGCUCUCACCUUCAAACAGGGAAGCUGGCUGACAAUUGUUCUGCUAAAUUUAGCCGUAGACUGGGAGUCCAGGCAAGUGCCUAUGUGGCCAAAUGAGUAAGCGUUGGCCAUACGACUUGUUUUGUCUACAGUGAUCUAGAGACACUUCGAAUUCUGCUUGGCUUCAGCAAGCUAAGCCCUUUCAAAUUCACUAUUUCUCUCACAGCCAUUCUGUUGUGAGCAGGAGAUAAAACAAAUAGUAACCUUCACUUCCUUUCAUCCAAGGAUCAAUGUUUUAAAAAAGGAAAAAAAGCAAAGCAAAACAAAGCAUCUCUAGGCAACCGGUUCAAAAAAGAAAAAAGGUUCCCGUUAGCAAGGCAUAUGCCCAGAGCACUUGUGCUGUUGCAGUAUAUGUGUUUGCUGUUUUGCUUUAUGAUUUAACACGUCCUUCUGUGAUGAGAUUCCCGUGAAUAUGUUGUUAAUUGCUUCAAAUUCACCAGAUUAGGGAAGCCAGCUGUCUUCCCUAAUGUGUUAGUUAUUUUUAUGUGUCAACUUGGCUAGGCCACAGUACCCAGAUAGUUGGUCAAAUGAUGUUUCUGUGAAGGUAUUUUUAAAAUUUAAGUUCCAUUAAAUUACAUUUUAAUUUUAAAAUUUAAAUCAGCAGACUUUGAGUAAAGCAGAAUACCCUGUAUGGUGUGGGUGGGCCUCAUCCAAUCAGUAGAAGGCCUGAAUAGAAAAAGCCUGAAUGCCAUGAGAAGCGGGAAUUCUGCCAGCUGACUGCCUUUGACUGUGAGCUGCAACGUCAACAAUUCCCUGGUCUUCAGCCUGCCGGUACACUCUGAAAAUUUUGGACUUAACAGUCCCCAUAAUUGCAUGAGCCAAUCCUUCAAAUAAAUCUCUCUCUCUCUCUCCCCCCACUCUUGUUUUUUGUUUUUCUCUCUCUCUCUCUGUCUUUCUCUCUCGCUACACACACACACGUGCAUGCACACACAGUGUAUUCACCCUGUUUAUUCUGUUUCUCUAAAGAACCCUAAUACACCUGCCACCUUAUAAUCUGCCAUUUCUUGCUUUUCUUUUUAGAGACUCCAGGUAGACAUCUUGGAUAGAGUGGUCAUACCAGAUUUAGCAAAUACAAAUACAGGAUGCCGAGUUAAGUUUGAAUUUCAGAUAUACAAGAAAUACUUUAGUAUAAGUAAAUCACAUGCAGUAUUUGGGAUAUACUUAUACUGAAAAAAAUAUUCAUUGUUUAUCUGAAAUUCAAACUGAACUGAGCAUCCUGUAUUUUAUUUGGCAAUCCUAAUGCCAGUAUCACUAUGGAAGGAGAGGUUAGUUUUGUUCUUCUCUGUGAUUCAGACAAUACCUAAACUCAGCUCUUUUCUCCAAUCUUUGGUCUUCUUCUUCUUUAGGUUCCAGCCCUGGCUAGCAUGAAGCCAUGACCCUUACUGUUGUUAUACCUUCAACACCCUGUCCCAUGUUCUCUCAUCACCUCAGAAGAAAGAUACUCUGAAACUGUUCAUUAUCUAUUCUAUAGAUUCUGUCCUUUGCAAGAUUAGGACCACUUACCUUCUGACGUGAUUGUGGAUACAUUGUCACCAUAGCCCUAAAUUUGGGGAAUCCCUUUCUGAUUUCAAUAGCCCUCAGUUGUUAUCAUCUUGCCUUUGUUUCUUUCCCUUUUUUUAUAUAUUUUAUUUUGAGAUGAAGUCUUGCUCCGUCAGCCAGGCUAGACUGCAAUGGCAUGAUCUCGGCUCACUGCAACCUCCACCUCCCGGGUUCAAGUGAUUCUCCUGUCUCAGCCUCCCAAGUAGCUGGAUUAUAGGUGUAUGCCACCAUGCCCAUCUAUUUUUAUUUUUUUAAGUAGAGAUGGGGUUUCACCAUGUUGGCCUGACCUCAAGUGAUCCACCCACCUCAGCCUCCCAAAGUGUUGGGAUUACAGGUGUGAGCCACUGCGCCCAGCCCGCCUUUUGUUUCUGAAUGCCUCAGUUCUGGCCCCUGUGACUGACGGCUCCUUUUCCUAACUCCUAGGAAUGUCAAUGGUGUUCCCCUGGGUUUCAAAACACUGUAGUAUCAAAAUCACGAUAAAGGAGGAAUUAGGAUUAAGAUCUACCACUGUAGGUCAUCCCUUCUCAUCCUAGCCACUCAAUAACUAUUUGUGGAAUAACAUACAAAUGGCAUUAUUUAAUAUUGUAGAUAAAAAUCUUCAUACAACCUUAGGGUUAAACAAUCCUAGAAAGUCUGUAUUAUGGCCACUUGUCUCAUGUUCAGAACUCUCCCUUCCUCCCAUCCAAGUAGGAUGUGAGUCGUGGAUGAUAUUUAAUAAUGAUGAUAGUUAAUGUCUCUUCGUCCUUACUGUGUUUGAGGCACAUAGACUUUAGGAAGGAGAUACCAGUGUCAUCAUAAUUGUACAGGUGACCAAACUGAGGUGCACAUGGCUAAAGGCUUUUUCAAGGUCAUUUGGCAAGAUAAUGGCAUUGGGACCCAGGCCCCUUUAAAUCCAAGUUACCAUCAGGCUUCUACAGGUCAUGUGCCUGAGCACUUCUUGAUAAGAGACUUACAUAUUAACAGGCAUCAUUUUUGUUUUUAAAGUUCUUCCUGCAAAGCAAUUCCCAAGUGUUCCUUGAUGUAUGGAGCAGAGAUUGAAGAGCUGGUGAAGAGUUUUCUUAGUCGUGUGCACGUAGUCAUGUGCACAGAUACAGGGUCUGUGGUAUUGGCUAGUCCUGGGGCACUGAAUUUACUAAGGGUCAUGUUACCUGCUUAGAUCUGAGAUGGGGGUGGGAUUAGAAAGUGCAUGCCUGCUUCCAUGCCAUAAAGAACCUACAUUUGAUAGAAAAUGAUUUUUACUAUUCUGACCAUUCAAAGUAAUUAUUGAGUAUGCAUGAUGUAGCAUCCAUCAGCUAAACUCUCGAGCUCUGGACCCAACUCUCUUGCACUUGAGUCUUGGCUCGGCCACAUACUAGCAGUGUGCAUAAGGGUUUUAUGCGCACCCUCUGUUAUUCAGUUCUCUCAUCUGUCAAUGGGGUAAUAAUUAUACUUACUUCAGCCAGGUGUGGUGGCUCACGCCUAUAAUCCCAGCACUCUGGGAUGCCAAGGUGGGCAGAUCACCUGAGGUCAGGAGUUUGAGACUAGCCUGGCGAACAUGGUGAAACCCUGUCUCUACUAAAAAUACAAAAAAAUUAGCCAGAUGUGGUGGUGCACCCCUGUAGUCCCAGCUACUUGGGAGGCUGAGGCAGGAAAAUCACUUCAACCAGGGAGGGGGAGAUUGCAGUGAGCCAAGAUCAUGCCACUGCACUCCAGCCUGGGGGACAAGAGUGAGACUUUGUCUCAAAAAAAAAAAAAAAAAAAGGAAAGAAAGAAUUAUACUCACCUCAUCAGAUUAUUGUGGGGAUUAAAUUAAUAAAAUAAAGAAAGCUUUUAGAAUGGUGUGCUCCAACAUAGGUGCCAUGCAAACAUUUGUGGUUAAUUGUGUUCUUGUUUUCCAUGCAGAUAUAGACAAUGGGGACACAUUUUGUUUACAAUAUAAACAAAGUACAGGCCGUCAUGGGAUAUAUCUAUCACUAGGAUCAUGAGAAAAUUACUAAAUAACUAUGUAAGUUAAUUUAAGUUAAUGAUAAAUGCUAUGAAGACAAAUUAAGCAAGGUGGAGGUUGAAAGGGUGAUGGGCAGGGUCUUCUUUAAAAAAGGUGAUGAGCAAACACAGUGACUUAACAUGAAGCCCUGGAGUCAAAAAUACAAAUGGCCAAGAAAUUCCAUGCUGAGGGAGUUCCCUGGGUCAUGGCAAUGUCAGUGAAGGUCUUUGGGGAAGGAUUUCAGUAGGGAGACAGGACGGGUCUGAUCCCUUGGGAAAUGCAAGCCACUCGCUGGGCGACAUUCAGGCAGGUGCAUCAGGGCGUGAUCAUGGGGAAGACGAUGCACUGCCAAGCCCAAGUGGCCCCAGUGGGUUUGGGGAAAUAUUGGGAAAUGCUUACGAAUAGGCAGGGCAGAGCUAUGUUAUGAGAAAUCUGGAAAGCCAAGUACAUAUGUUGUAGGUUUGUUGUGGUAGGACAUAGUCAAAGUGUUGGAGGAUUUUGCAUGACACAGUGAUGCUGUUCUUUAGAGAAGACAAGACUGGGCUGCAGUUACAGGGCCAGCCAGUGGACACUGCUGGGGAGCCCAGAGCUUCCCAUGGAGAGACUGGAGCCGAGAGAGGGCAGGGUUCCUUCUGAAGAACAGGCUUCGUGCUGCCUUGGGUGUGUGGGAGCUGGCUUCCCUUUCCAUUGUGUUUGUGAUGAUAAAUCCUGCACUUGGGAUCUUUCCCCAGGUUACUCCCCUUAGACAACCAAGGCUCCUGCAAGGCUGGAAGAGAAAGGCCCCCCUUACUUUAAAGAAAAAUGGUUGCCCCUUACCCUGCCCCUAACAACUGGCAGGGUUUGUCAGCCCAAGCCACAGAAAUUCCAAGACCAGAGAGAAAGCAACCUUAAACCCCAGCUCAGUGUUCUUAAUGUCAGAGAUAGUAAUCUUGAAAAAUGAGUCUUUUCUCUCUGGAGGGCACUUAGGUCUAGAUACAGAAUAUCCAUGUUGUGCAGAGCAUAGUGUCAGGCCCACCGUCGGCUUUUCCAGACAUUAAUCCAUUUCAAGACCAUACUGUGUGUCUUCAAGCCAUGAGAAUUAAGUGGAAAUAAUGGAUGCCCAUCUAGAAGGUAGCUACUGCCCUGUGACUAGAACUCGACACUUCAAUAAGUAUUCCAAUACUUUGUGCAAGCCAGUGGAAUGGGCAGAAAGGGGGCCUAGAGGAGAAAAGAUUACGCUUUUCAGCCAUGGAGGUGCCUGGCUGAGACUCACUAUAUCAGAAGACAGAUGCACAAGAAGAAAGCACAUACAUGUAUUCAAUGUAAGUUUUAUGUAACAUGGGAGCCUUCAGAAAUGAAGACCCAAGGAAACAGGGAAAUCUAUGGAUGUUUAGGUUUGAUGAAGACUUGGACAGUCAUGCAGAAAUAUGAUUGGACAAAGUGGGUGUGACCUAAUGGUUAUAAAAUGAGGGGAACUUAGCAAGGCCUUUGUUCAGAUUCGUCUUGGUGUUUUUUUGUCUUCAUUCCUUUCCCCCCAAUAUAAGGAACAGUCUUCUGUAAUGAGAGUCUUAUGACUUAUUUUAGAGAAAGGCCAGAGAAUUCUUUCAUGGCCUGCUUCAGGGGAGAAUGGUGGAAGAAGGUCAGAGAGACCUUCCUGCUUCUGCUGUCUCCUUAAAUGCCAGCAUGUCAUAUUCUAGGGUAGCGUGUUCUGGUCCCUGUUACUCAUCUUGUAUUGUCCUUCAAGCGGCAUCUUCCUGCUUCAUUUCUUAGUCCUGCUUUAUUUACGGCUUGCUCUUAUCUUUCUCCCUCUUUCCUUUCUUCUUUACAAAGUAGAUUCUCCUGGCAAGGUAGAAUUGCAGUGCUCUUUCAAGGACUGAAUGGCUGUUGCAAUACGUGUGGCUUUUCAUGCCUGUCAUCUAUAUAGAGCCAUAUUCAAAUAGGACGACCGGGGCUGGUUAGAGAUGUCAGGAUUUUAGUGCACCUACUGAAAUGCACACUCUGGCCUCCACCAAGAGAGGGACAUGGAAACAGGCCUAGGGAAUGUAGUACUUUUGAUCUUUAUCCAUACUCCUCCCUCCCUCUUACAACUCUCACAAAAUUUGCCCUCAAAAGACACCUUUCAUAAAAAGUCAAACAUCUCACUUCCUUCUAUAACUUCCCUGACUGGUUUGUAUUCAUUUGAGCUUCUCUUGCAAAGCUGAGCCUCGCUUUGAAAACUCUGGGAUCUAUUUCAUUCUAUAUGCUGUGCACUUCACAUGAGUUCCUUCUGUGCAAGCUGGAGACUCCUCUGGGCUCCUUCCCUGAGUGUUACGCUGGCUUCUUCCUAGACUUCUCAUUCAGCUCGGUGUGUGUGUGUGCGUGUGUGUGUGUGUGUGCACGCAUGUGAGCAUUCACCCCCUAGCUGCAGGUGUAAGGGAUGCAGGGAUGGAACUCUUCCAUCAGAGGAUCACUAAAGGCAUACUAAUUAACUUGUUCUCUUUUUUUUCUCUGAAAUAAUUUUUCUCUUGGACAUAUUGAGAAGUAAAAGAUUUCAUUUUUCACUGAAAAAUAAAAUGUUCAUGCUACCAACAGCCUGCUUUGGAUUUCUGAAAGAUAUCUGCAAGGCCAGGAAGCACACUGCAGCUAGGCUUAAUGCUGAAGGGCCCAAUCCUCCUUUGAACAAAGGAGCCCUCGAUUUACGCCUCUAUGGCCCAUUUUAGCAAGUUCAAUCUUUCCAUUAACCCCUGGUAACCAUAAUGACUUCCUAAUACCAGUAAAUUAACAAAUACCGGGGUGCCACCAAAUGCAUCCCUGAAGUGCCUUUGGUGUGGUCCCCGGCCUGCUGAAACGAAGCGUGGGCCCCGCCUUUGUUCUUCCCCAGGACUUUUCUUGUGGGCUCACAGCACUUUGAAUCUCAAAUGAGCUGCCUAAUUAAUCUCCACAACUAUCCUGUGAGACUUGUCCAUUAUCUUCACUUUGCAGAUAGUAACAAUUUAUAGGACUUGGCUGAGGUCACAGGAAAAUUAGCAUCAGAGCCAGAAUAAAAUUCUGAGUUCCUAAACCCCUUUCCUCUUAUCCUGUUCCCUAGACAACAUCAUUUCAUCCUCUUGGUAUAAAAUUAGUAAGUGUGGCGGGGCCGUAUUGCAUCGUAAUGAACUACUGUUUGGUACAUGUGACCUAGAGGCUAAGGGCUUUUUUUUUUUUUAAAUGCACAGUCUGAAAAGGUACUAAAACAAUUAUUUUUGGAAUAUGUCUUACAGAAUGGCUUUUAGACGCCAUGUGCCCAUUCGUCUCCAUGAAAGGAAUGUCAUUUACACAACCCACUGAACAUCUCCGUGGUUCAGGUAGUCCUGUGCCAGGACCUGGAGAAGACGCUGACCCUCAGGUGUUUUCUUUUUUGCUGAUAAAGUGUGGGUGAAAUGUGUUGGACUUGGUGCAUGCUGCAAUAAUUGCAAAUGAGAUGAUCUGCACAUGAAUUUUCUUGGUGUGAUUUUGUUUGAUCUUUCUCGGUGUGGUUCUGUAAUGGCAAGAGACAUCUUCCUCUGCAUCAGAGUAUGAAACAUCUUAAAAGGCAUUGCAUGGCUGAAGUGCAGGUCUGUAUUUUUUAGAACUAGCUAUUUGACAGGAAAGGGUGUAAAUCCACAUUGUGUUCAUUCAAUUCCACAAGCAUUCAUUGAACACCAUCUCAUGACAAGCCAGUGCCAGGGGCCGUGAAUGGGGCUGGAGGCAGACACAUUCCCAGGGUGACUUUAGAGUGGCCUCUCCUGUGUGCUCAUUUGGAAAAUCAGAAGGAAGAUGACGCAGGCUUGAUUCUGUCCGGCUCAGAUGUUCAAGAACAUUGUGAUCACUUCAGAUAAUGUUUAUCUUAUUUAUGAUGUUGCACAGAUGUUCAAGAACAUUGUGAUCACUUCAGAUAAUGUUUAUCUUAUUUAUGAUGUUGCACUGACACAGACUGUCAAGGCUGAAUUCCUACCCUGCCUGUCAACAAGUAAACAAGUCCUUAAGCGGAUUAUGGGAACUAACUAAGGAGUAAUUAGAAGCAUUUUGUCAAGUCACUAGAAUGGAAUCCCAGGGUGGACCCUUUAGGAGAGGGAGAGUUCUUUGAUAAUGCAAACACAUUCUUUAGAUUCCAGGUUCCAGUGUGGCUUCUGGGUGGCAAAGUGAGAGGAGCUUGCUUUGGAGAAGUGGAGCUGGCCUUAGGAAGGCGUGUUUGACUCUGUUGACAAUUAUCAGUCAGGAGCUAGAUCUGGGUAGGACAGUUAGAAACACUGACAUAAUUCUUACUUUGUUUUGUUGGCCUUAAGAAUAAAAAUUUUAAAAUACAGAUGAUUAUUCUAUACUUUCAGGUUUAUUAUCAACCUGUAGCACUCAAAAGCUUUCAAUUAUUGUUAAUAUAUUUGAGUUAAAUAUCAAAGUAAUAGGCAUUACUUACUUUUAGAAAAUUGCAACCAAUAAGAGGCAUUUCAUUUGUCGUGCAUUUAACUUUUGAGACAUAAUGAAUAGUUUCCUAAAACUUUUCAAAGCUGAAUGUUAUGGAAGAAACAUUCUCACCAUAACUCUUAAAAAUUGCAUAUCCUUACAAGUGAAUACCAUAUCAAAAUAUGAAAAUCAUUUCAGAUAUUUAUUAACUACUUAAAACUGACAAAUGGUAAACAGAAAUGUCAUUUCUUUCAUUAGUACAGAGAAAGCUCCCUCACUCCUCCCAAAUAUCUAUUGUGAUGAAUUGGUUGAUUAUUUUAAACAAUGUAGUUGCACAAAUAGACAUUAAUGUGAAUGAUGAUAGCAUGUCACUUCUGAGGAAUUGCAUUUAGGAGGUACGUGUAUGACAGCUUAUGUGUAAUCUUCAGGCUUGUAUUUAUGCCACAAGAAAAUAGACUUUCUUCAAUGAUUCACUUCAUCACAGGUGGCCUACCUACCUGAAAGACAUCUUCAUGCCAAAGUUGGCUGACUUUCUCAUGCACAACGAACCCAUAUUCCCGUAGGAAUUGAAGGAUAUGACUAAUCAGUUGAAAACAGUUCUUUCAUUUGUUUAACAUGUCAAACUCAGGAACAAGCCCCAAGGUUCAAGUUUUACUGAAAGACUUUUACCAUAGUGCUUUUUUGACAUAGAAAAGAAAAACAGAACAAUAAAAAAAAGAAAGUCAACAAUUUUUUCAGUGAAGAGACUCACAGAGAUUGAAGGUUCUCCGAAAACAUUCAGGCCAAUGCAUCAUUUUACAUAUGAGAAAACUGAAGUCCAGAGGUGACAAAAUUUGACAAAUCUACAUAGCUAAAAUGAAACCAAACAGACUCGUAAUCCUACUUGGUGCUGGAGGGAGGCUGCAAUCUGGGGAACUUGUUAUCCAGACAUCCCAGCUGGUAGAGUGUGCUACUACAUAGAUAAAGUCACUGUGGUUAGUGUCUAGCCUCAGCUUUAAAGUUCUGGAAAAUCAAAUUUGUCAAUAUUCCCAUGGUUAUUUAGAGUUAGGGGAACUAAUAUAAAUUCCAAAAUAUAAAUUUAUAAAAGAAAAUAUUGUGACUUUUCUUGUUCUCUAUGUAGAACAUGCCCAUAAUCUUCCAUAAUCAUCCUUAUGACAUGCAGCAUCCUUACAAUGACUGAGAAGUGGUAAAUUUGGAAGCUUCUUAGGUGAGUGUCGAGAGGGCCGAGGAACAGAAUAGUCUCGGGACAUCUAGUCAUCCCAAUUUUACAAUUGAGCUAUAGGCUGAUAAUACCACUGUCUCUGUUCUCUAAAUAAGCAUGGCAAAAUUGUGGUUUUCUGAAUGUCGUUCAUCAAUAAUCCAAGCUGGCUUUUUCACAGUUAGUGUCUAGAUAAGGUUCAACAACAUACAUGUGGUUUCUCAUGGUUGUAUUUUAUUUACAUUCUAUUCCCCCUUUCAGACCAAUCAAUCACCUUGAUUGAAGUUCUGACUGUGGUCUUGCUAAGAAUUCUUCUGGAAUAUGAUCCCUUUUGCUUGUCUCUUCAGCUUGCUUGGCAACUUUCUACCCACUUUCCUCAAAAUUCCGAGACAUCAGACUCACCUCCAGUUCAUCUCCAGUUCAUGUGACAGCUGCUGUCCCUGCUGGUGAAGUGGCUGUGCUGUCUGGGGUAUACACCCUGGGGUUCAUCGUCACACACCAAGAAUUCAGGACACAAUCACAUGUGGGUGGGUUAGGGAGUGGAAAAUUUAAUAGAUAGAAGAAAGGAGAGAGGAGAGCAGCUCUUAGAGAGAGAGAGAGAGAGAGACAUCUGAAAAGUGGGGAG
RNAcentral lists this long non-coding RNA (26246 nucleotides) under Homo sapiens (human). Its description in RNAcentral is "HSALNT0375175". Lineage: Eukaryota; Metazoa; Chordata; Mammalia; Primates; Hominidae. The record is from RNAcentral.